Molecule: long non-coding RNA, 231 nt
Filed under: Mytilus galloprovincialis (Mediterranean mussel)
Lineage: Eukaryota; Metazoa; Mollusca; Bivalvia; Mytilida; Mytilidae
Source: RNAcentral
GUGGGCUAUGGAAGGUAUCUGAAGAAUUAAUAGUGUGUUCUUAUGUGAAAAAUGCAUGAGGAUGGAAAAGAGGAAAAACUGCGGAAAUUAAUUUGACGUGACAGCUGACAAAGACAGGCCAAUGGCCUGAAAUUGUGACUGUAUUGAAAUGAAUCAAUAUUUACAAUGAAAUCCGUAAAAUAUUAGGUGAAUUCAAUUUAAAAAAUAGAUGUGAAAUAUGACAAUUUAUUU